Molecule: ribosomal RNA, 375 nt
Filed under: uncultured bacterium
Lineage: Bacteria
Description: bacterial SSU rRNA
Rfam family: Bacterial small subunit ribosomal RNA
Source: RNAcentral
CACGAUCAGUAGCCGACCUGAGAGGGUGACCGGCCACAUUGGGACUGAGACACGGCCCAGACUCCUACGGGAGGCAGCAGUGGGGGAUAUUGCACAAUGGGGGAAACCCUGAUGCAGCGACGCCGCGUGGAGGAAGAAGGUUUUCGGAUUGUAAACUCCUGUCGUUAGGGACGAUAAGACGGUACCUAACAAGAAAGCACCGGCUAACUACGUGCCAGCAGCCGCGGUAAAACGUAGGGUGCAAGCGUUGUCCGGAAUUACUGGGUGUAAAGGGAGCGCAGGCGGGAAGCAAGUUGGAAGUGAAAACCAUGGGCUCAACCCAUGAAUUGCUUUCAAAACUGUUUUUCUUGAGUAGUGCAGAGGUAGAUGGAAUUC